AGCGAACGCUGGCGGCAGGCUUAACACAUGCAAGUCGAGCGGGCACUUUCGGGUGUCAGCGGCGGACGGGUGAGUAACGCGUGGGAACGUGCCCUCUGGUUCGGAAUAACUCAGGGAAACUUGAGCUAAUACCGGAUACGCCCUUUUGGGGAAAGGCUUGCUGCCGGAGGAUCGGCCCGCGUCUGAUUAGCUAGUUGGUGAGGUAACGGCUCACCAAGGCGACGAUCAGUAGCUGGUCUGAGAGGAUGAUCAGCCACACUGGGACUGAGACACGGCCCAGACUCCUACGGGAGGCAGCAGUGGGGAAUAUUGGACAAUGGGCGCAAGCCUGAUCCAGCCAUGCCGCGUGAGGGAUGAAGGCCUUAGGGUUGUAAAGCUCUUUUAUCCGGGACGAUAAUGACGGUACCGGAGGAAUAAGCCCCGGCUAACUUCGUG
This 435-nucleotide ribosomal RNA is filed under the name uncultured bacterium. Its description in RNAcentral is "partial 16S ribosomal RNA". It matches the Rfam family "Bacterial small subunit ribosomal RNA", at positions 29 to 507 of the family's 1533-position model. The record is from RNAcentral.